GACGAACGCUGGCGGCGUGCCUAAUACAUGCAAGUAGAACGCUGAAGAGAGGAGCUUGCUCUUCUUGGAUGAGUUGCGAACGGGUGAGUAACGCGUAGGUAACCUGCCUUGUAGCGGGGGAUAACUAUUGGAAACGAUAGCUAAUACCGCAUAACAAUGGAUGACACAUGUCAUUUAUUUGAAAGGGGCAAUUGCUCCACUACAAGAUGGACCUGCGUUGUAUUAGCUAGUAGGUGAGGUAACGGCUCACCUAGGCGACGAUACAUAGCCGACCUGAGAGGGUGAUCGGCCACACUGGGACUGAGACACGGCCCAGACUCCUACGGGAGGCAGCAGUAGGGAAUCUUCGGCAAUGGGGGCAACCCUGACCGAGCAACGCCGCGUGUGUGAAGAAGGUUUUCGGAUCGUAAAGCUCUGUUGUAAGUCAAGAACGAGUGUGAGAGUGGAAAGUUCACACUGUGACGGUAGCUUACCAGAAAGGGACGGCUAACUACGUG
This 497-nucleotide ribosomal RNA is filed under the name uncultured bacterium. Its description in RNAcentral is "partial 16S ribosomal RNA". It matches the Rfam family "Bacterial small subunit ribosomal RNA", at positions 28 to 507 of the family's 1533-position model. The record is from RNAcentral.